RNAcentral lists this ribosomal RNA (414 nucleotides) under uncultured prokaryote. RNAcentral describes it as "bacterial SSU rRNA". It matches the Rfam family "Bacterial small subunit ribosomal RNA", at positions 505 to 918 of the family's 1533-position model. The record is from RNAcentral.
GUGCCAGCAGCCGCGGUAACACGUAUGGGGCGAGCGUUGUUCGGAAUUACUGGGCAUAAAGGGCGUGUAGGCGGUUCGGUAAGCCUGGCGUGAAAGGUAUCGGCCUAACCGGUAGAUGGCGCUGGGAACUGCGGGACUGGAGUUUUGGAGGGGGAGCUGGAAUUCCUGGUGUAGGGGUGAAAUCUGUAGCGAUCAGGAAGAACACCGGUGGCGAAGGCGAGCUCCUGGCCAAUGACUGACGCUGAGGCGCGAAAGCGUGGGGAGCAAACAGGAUUAGAUACCCUGGUAGUCCACGCUGUAAACGAUGUGCACUAGGUGUUCGUGCCAUACGGGCAUCGGUGCCGUAGCUAAGGCGCUAAGUGCACCGCCUGGGGAGUAUGCUCGCAAGGGUGAAACUUAAAUGAAUUGGCGGGG